RNAcentral lists this long non-coding RNA (355 nucleotides) under Capra hircus (goat). RNAcentral's name for it is "lncRNA (ENSCHIG00000005956.1)". Lineage: Eukaryota; Metazoa; Chordata; Mammalia; Artiodactyla; Bovidae. The record is from RNAcentral.
GAGUUUCUGUACGUGUUUCAGUGAACGUGGUUCCAGCGCAAAGGACUAGUGUAGCUGCUUUUAAAAUAAACUUUGGAUAAGGAAUGUGAUCAUGGCAGUUCUCAUUUCUUUAACAAAUAGUGUGUACCCAUAGGGUCCAAGGCGCCAGACUUGUCUCUGUUCUGACAACUGCCGCAGCGAAAUGGUGGAAAAGGUCAGAUGAUGCACAGAAACGACUGAAUGAAGACAAAGAAGUGAAAGCUGUGACAGGUGUGGCACCAGCUGUUGAUGAGGUGACGCUAAUGCCUGGCACAAGAAGCUGAGGGUGGAUGAAAUGAAUGCCGCUUGUCCCUCUUCUUAGAUAGGAAACAAAAAG